Long non-coding RNA from Lycium ferocissimum, 1580 nucleotides. RefSeq lists it as uncharacterized. The record is from RefSeq and is a predicted model, not a curated record. The transcript is spliced from 3 exons. Lineage: Eukaryota; Viridiplantae; Streptophyta; Magnoliopsida; Solanales; Solanaceae.
UUCUUUACCCCGUCACAAACAUUCAGAAACGCCACGUCUUUUAGUCUCUCUUUCCAUUCCCCAUUUUAAUUUACGGCUCAUCCCCAAUGUCGAUUAGACCUCACAAUCACUCUUUGUCGCCAAGGGUUGCGUUAUAAACCUUGCAUUAUAAGGUCCUAAGGCGUCAAGAAGAAACCAAAGGCAUAUGCAGAGAAUCAAAGAACUCGAGUUGACGAACUCGCAAGUGACAGUUAAAGAGGCGUAUGAAUCAGAAACCAAGGAGGAAGAGAAGAAAGGCGAGGAAAGCUAGAAAAAAAACCAAGAUUGUGAUGACUGACGAGGGAGAAAAAGGGAUGAAUUUCUAAAUUCCAGUGCAAAAGCAAAGGUUGGUACACGAAUUUCUGAAAUUCCAGUUAAAUAUAUAUACCCUGCCAAAUUGGUUUUGUAUGAUGAAUUUCAUUCCUUCUUUAGAGAUAGUCAUCGCAGAACAAAAUUUUGCGGACUUAUUUUCUUCCCCUUUCUUUUUUCCUCACUUCCCUCUGACCUUUUAUUAGCCUUUUCUUUCCUCUUUGGGACAAGGGAAAACCAAAGAAAGAAUGGGGUAACAAUUUAAAAAGGGGCGUGCCCAGUUUAAGAUCAAACUUUUUAGCACAUGUUACCAUCUUUUGCAUUGUUCUUCUGGGAAAAUGACAAAUCUUUGCUUUAUCUUUCCAUCUUCACUUUAGUAACUAUGAAACUGCCGGACUAUUUGUGUCCUAUAAAAGAUACACAAAGGAUACUCUAUCUAUUUUUAAAAUAUCUCGUGAAUCUCCUAAUCUAUUUGUGAUCUUAGAGUUAGGCGACACCAUGCAUCCUUCGAUAGAAAGAGGGGGACACGUCAAAGCUUGUAUUUAUCUCUUCUCUCGAAGUUACUAUUGUUUACUAUUUUACCGUUCUUGUAUUGCUGCUUUUAGUUGCCUCCUUCUCUUGCUGUUAUUUCUCACAUAUCUAUUUUUCUAUUUAAAUAUAGUGUUGUAAAUGAGCAAAGCAUUAUUCAAUAAUCACCUUUUAAUCUUUCUAAUGUGAUUUUGUGACAUGAUGUGGGGGAACAUGAGUAUAAAGCGUCUCCAUAGAUCGGGUCCAUUUCUUGGAUGCAGUGAAACAAACUUGGUUGGAGAAGCCUGCUUUUUUGUGUGACGUUUGGUGAUGAGUAGAGAUAAAUAGACUGCGUUGAAGUGAGUGGGAAGAGAAAGAUGAGCCAACUUAUAGAUGCUGAUGAAUUUGAAAACAAAAGGAAGGAAUUGGAAAGCAUCUGCAAUCCAGUCAUUGCUACGAUGAAUCAAGGUGACGCCAAUGGAGCUACUAUGGAUGAGGAUGAUCUUUCCGUUGGUGGUGAUGCUGGAAAUAGAAGCGGUACUACACCAAAAGUGGAAGUUGAUUAAGAGUUUUUCUUGGAAUUGUUUAUCUGUUUGUUACUAAGAUGUGCCGCUUGAUUUUACUUGUAGAGCUGGAAUUAGUUAGCCAUCUUUAAUUUCUAUCCCAAUUUGUAUACUUCUUUUUUGUCAAUAUGUUCAUUUUAAAAUAAAAUGAUGGUUUUUAUCUCAAAAAUAUAGUACAGUAAU